CCUACGGGUGGCAGCAGUGAGGAAUAUUGGUCAAUGGGCGCGAGCCUGAACCAGCCAAGUAGCGUGAAGGAUGACUGCCCUACGGGUUGUAAGUUUCUUUUAUAGAGGAAUAAAGUGAGGCACGAGUGCCUUUUUGUAUGUACUUUAUGAAUAAGGAUCGGCUAACUCCGUGCCAGCAGCCGCGGUACUACGGUGGAUGCGAGCGUUAUCCGGAUUGAUUGGGUUUAAAGGGAGCGUAGAUGGGUUGGUAAGUCAGUUGUGAAAGCUUGCGGCUUAACCGUAAAAUUGCAUUUGAUACUGGCAGCCGUGAGGACAGUUGAGGUAGGUGGAAUUCGUGGUGCAGCGGUGAAAUGCUUAGAUAUGACGAAGAACACCGAGUACGAAGGCAGCCCACUAAGCUGCCACUGACAUUGAUGCUCGAAAGUGUGGGUAGCAAACAGGAUUAGAUACCCGUGUAGUC
RNAcentral lists this ribosomal RNA (460 nucleotides) under uncultured bacterium. Its description in RNAcentral is "partial 16S ribosomal RNA". It matches the Rfam family "Bacterial small subunit ribosomal RNA", at positions 338 to 795 of the family's 1533-position model. The record is from RNAcentral.